AUUAGGAGAAAUACCUAAUGUAAAUGAUGAGUUAAUGGGUGCAGCAAACCAACGUGGCACAUGUAUACCUAUGUAACUAACCUGCACGUUGUGCACAUGUACCCUAGAACUUAAAGUAUAAUUAAAAAAAAAAAAAGAAAGAAAAGAAAAGAGAAAAGUGCCAAUGGUUUGUUCAGAAAAUAACUGCAGCUGGGGAUCAGAAGAGGAAGCUAAUAUACAGCCUACUGUAGUUAAGGAAGUGUUCACAUCAGGGAGGAGAAGUGAGCUAAGCUUUGAAGGGCAAGUAGGAUUCUAAGAGGUGGAGGAGAUGGGAGAAAUCACAGGAAAAGAGAAAGAGGAGG
RNAcentral lists this long non-coding RNA (341 nucleotides) under Homo sapiens (human). RNAcentral's name for it is "HSALNT0101930". The record is from RNAcentral. Lineage: Eukaryota; Metazoa; Chordata; Mammalia; Primates; Hominidae.